AUUGAACGCUGGCGGCAGGCCUAACACAUGCAAGUCGRGCGGCAGCACAGGUACUUGUACCGGGUGGCGAGCGGCGGACGGGUGAGUAAUGCCUAGGAAUCUGCCUGGUAGUGGGGGAUAACGCUCGGAAACGGACGCUAAUACCGCAUACGUCCUACGGGAGAAAGCAGGGGACCUUCGGGCCUUGCGCUAUCAGAUGAGCCUAGGUCGGAUUAGCUAGUUGGUGAGGUAAAGGCUCACCAAGGCGACGAUCCGUAACUGGUCUGAGAGGAUGAUCAGUCACACUGGAACUGAGACACGGUCCAGACUCCUACGGGAGGCAGCAGUGGGGAAUAUUGGACAAUGGGCGAAAGCCUGAUCCAGCCAUGCCGCGUGUGUGAAGAAGGUCUUCGGAUUGUAAAGCACUUUAAGUUGGGAGGAAGGGUCGUUACCUA
Molecule: ribosomal RNA, 434 nt
Filed under: Pseudomonas sp. R-26430
Lineage: Bacteria; Pseudomonadati; Pseudomonadota; Gammaproteobacteria; Pseudomonadales; Pseudomonadaceae
Description: bacterial SSU rRNA
Rfam family: Bacterial small subunit ribosomal RNA
Source: RNAcentral